UGCGUAGGGUGCGAGCGUUAAUCGGAAUUACUGGGCGUAAAGCGUGCGCAGGCGGUUUUGUAAGCCAGAUGUGAAAUCCCCGGGCUUAACCUGGGAACUGCAUUUGUGACUGCAUAGCUAGAGUACGGUAGAGGGGGAUGGAAUUCCGCGUGUAGCAGUGAAAUGCGUAGAUAUGCGGAGGAACACCGAUGGCGAAGGCAAUCCCCUGGACCUGUACUGACGCUCAUGCACGAAAGCGUGGGGAGCAAACAGG
Molecule: ribosomal RNA, 253 nt
Filed under: uncultured bacterium
Lineage: Bacteria
Description: partial 16S ribosomal RNA
Rfam family: Bacterial small subunit ribosomal RNA
Source: RNAcentral